UGGGGAAUUUUGGACAAUGGGGGAAACCCUGAUCCAGCCAUCCCGCGUGUGCGAUGAAGGCCUUCGGGUUGUAAAGCACUUUUGGCAGGAAAGAAACGUCAUGGGUUAAUACCCCGUGAAACUGACGGUACCUGCAGAAUAAGCACCGGCUAACUACGUGCCAGCAGCCGCGGUAAUACGUAGGGUGCAAGCGUUAAUCGGAAUUACUGGGCGUAAAGCGUGCGCAGGCGGUUCGGAAAGAAAGAUGUGAAACCCCAGAGCUCAACUUUGGAACUGCAUUUUUAACUACCGGGCUAGAGUGUGUCAGAGGGAGGUGGAAUUCCGCGUGUGGCAGUGAAAUGCGUAGAUAUGCGGAGGAACACCGAUGGCGAAGGCAGCCUCCUGGGAUAACACUGACGCUCAUGCACGAAAGCGUGGGGAGCAAACAGG
RNAcentral lists this ribosomal RNA (429 nucleotides) under Acidobacteriota bacterium. Its description in RNAcentral is "Acidobacteria bacterium partial 16S ribosomal RNA". It matches the Rfam family "Bacterial small subunit ribosomal RNA", at positions 355 to 776 of the family's 1533-position model. The record is from RNAcentral. Lineage: Bacteria; Pseudomonadati; Acidobacteriota.